This 775-nucleotide ribosomal RNA is filed under the name uncultured Neocallimastigales. RNAcentral describes it as "partial large subunit ribosomal RNA". It matches the Rfam family "Eukaryotic large subunit ribosomal RNA", at positions 22 to 605 of the family's 3401-position model. The record is from RNAcentral. Lineage: Eukaryota; Fungi; Neocallimastigomycota; Neocallimastigomycetes; Neocallimastigales.
GCGUCUAUAUACGUAUAGCAUAUCAAUAAGCGGAGGAAAAGAAACUAACUAGGAUUCCCUUAGUAACGGCGAGUGAAGCGGGAAGAGCUCAAAUUUGAAAUCUUCAAGGUUCUACCUUGACGAAUUGUAGUUUAAAGAAGUGUUUUCUGUUGGAGUUUUGGUAAAAGUUCUUUGGAAUAGGACAUCAUAGAGGGUGAGAAUCCCGUAUUUGACCAUUAUUUCCAACUUUGUGAUACACUUUCAAAGAGUCGGAUUGUUUGGGAAUGCAGUCCAAAAUGGGUGGUAAAUUUCAUCUAAAGCUAAAUACUGGCGAGAGACCGAUAGCGAACAAGUACCGUGAGGGAAAGAUGAAAAGAACUUUGAAAAGAGAGUUAAACAGUACGUGAAAUUGUCAAAAGGGAAGCGUUUGACACCAGUGUUGUUUUCUCGAAAAUCAAUUAAAAAUGACUUGAUUUUGUGUUGUAUUGACCUUAAAAGCUUUCUUCACUCUUUUCAUGUUAUUUUUAAUGCACUUUUCGUUUAACAAGUCAACAUCAGUUUCUUUUGUUGUAAAAAGGUCAUUGGAAGGUGGCUUUCUUUUCGGAGAAAGUGUUUAUAGCCUUUGACUUCUGCAAUCGGAGAGAUUGAGGUCUGCAGCGUAGAUCCUUCUGGAUUAGAUACAUUUGUGCUAAGUUAUAGCCUUUCAUAGACAACUUGUUGACUAUGAUCAGUCAUGUAGCUUACUCGCUUAUGCUAUUUUACCUACGCUUAGGAUGUUGACGAUCAGCUGAGCGCG